Molecule: ribosomal RNA, 590 nt
Filed under: uncultured bacterium
Lineage: Bacteria
Description: partial 16S ribosomal RNA
Rfam family: Bacterial small subunit ribosomal RNA
Source: RNAcentral
UGGGGAAUAUUGGACAAUGGGCGCAAGCCUGAUCCAGCAUCAUGCCGCGUGUGUGAAGAAGGCCUUCGGGUUGUAAAGCACUUUUAUCAGGAGCGAAACGCUGUCGGCUAAUACCCGGCGGAACUGACGGUACCUGAGGAAUAAGCACCGGCUAACUUCGUGCCAGCAGCCGCGGUAAUACGAAGGGUGCAAGCGUUAAUCGGAAUUACUGGGCGUAAAGCGUGCGUAGGCGGUUUCUUAAGUCUGCUGUGAAAUCCCCGGGCUCAACCUGGGAAUGGCAGUGGAUACUGGGAGGCUAGAGUGUGUCAGAGGGUGGUGGAAUUCCCGGUGUAGCGGUGAAAUGCGUAGAGAUCGGGAGGAACAUCAGUGGCGAAGGCGGCCACCUGGGACAACACUGACGCUGAGGCACGAAAGCGUGGGGAGCAAACAGGAUUAGAUACCCUGGUAGUCCACGCCCUAAAACGAUGCGAACUGGAUGUUGGUCUCAACUCGGAGAUCAGUGUCGAAGCUAACGCGUUAAGUUCGCCGCCUGGGGAGUACGGUCGCAAGACUGAAACUCAAAUGAAUUGACGGGGUCAUAGCUGUUUCCU